UGGGCAACCUGCCCCAGACACUGGGAUAACUCCGGGAAACCGGGGCUAAUACCGGAUACUCUCAGCCGGCCGCAUGACCGGCUGAGGAAAGCUCCGGCGGUCUGGGAUGGGCCCGCGGCCUAUCAGCUUGUUGAUGGGGUAACGGCCUACCAAGGCGACGACGGGUAGCUGGUCUGAGAGGACGGCCAGCCACACUGGGACUGAGACACGGCCCAGACUCCUACGGGA
RNAcentral lists this ribosomal RNA (228 nucleotides) under uncultured bacterium. Its description in RNAcentral is "partial 16S ribosomal RNA". It matches the Rfam family "Bacterial small subunit ribosomal RNA", at positions 118 to 346 of the family's 1533-position model. The record is from RNAcentral.